RNAcentral lists this microRNA precursor (67 nucleotides) under Ciona intestinalis (vase tunicate). Its description in RNAcentral is "Cin-Mir-4062-P1_pre stem-loop". The record is from RNAcentral. Lineage: Eukaryota; Metazoa; Chordata; Ascidiacea; Phlebobranchia; Cionidae.
AAGUCUUUGCCCAACAGCAACAUGUAUCUCACCAUUGCUUCAUGUAUGCUGAUGAACAAAGGCUUGC